AGCGUACACGGUGGAUGCCCUGGCAGUCAGAGGCGAUGAAGGACGUGCUAAUCUGCGAUAAGCGUCGGUAAGGUGAUAUGAACCGUUAUAACCGGCGAUUUCCGAAUGGGGAAACCCAGUGUGUUUCGACACACUAUCAUUAACUGAAUCCAUAGGUUAAUGAGGCGAACCGGGGGAACUGAAACAUCUAAGUACCCCGAGGAAAAGAAAUCAACCGAGAUUCCCCCAGUAGCGGCGAGCGAACGGGGAGCAGCCCAGAGCCUGAAUCAGUGUGUGUGUUAGUGGAAGCGUCUGGAAAGGCGCGCGAUACAGGGUGACAGCCCCGUACACAAAAAUGCACAUGCUGUGAGCUCGAUGAGUAGGGCGGGACACGUGGUAUCCUGUCUGAAUAUGGGGGGACCAUCCUCCAAGGCUAAAUACUCCUGACUGACCGAUAGUGAACCAGUACCGUGAGGGAAAGGCGAAAAGAACCCCGGCGAGGGGAGUGAAAAAGAACCUGAAACCGUGUACGUACAAGCAGUGGGAGCACGCUUCGGCGUGUGACUGCGUACCUUUUGUAUAAUGGGUCAGCGACUUAUAUUCUGUAGCAAGGUUAACCGAAUAGGGGAGCCGAAGGGAAACCGAGUCUUAACUGGGCGUUAAGUUGCAGGGUAUAGACCCGAAACCCGGUGAUCUAGCCAUGGGCAGGUUGAAGGUUGGGUAACACUAACUGGAGGACCGAACCGACUAAUGUUGAAAAAUUAGCGGAUGACUUGUGGCUGGGGGUGAAAGGCCAAUCAAACCGGGAGAUAGCUGGUUCUCCCCGAAAGCUAUUUAGGUAGCGCCUCGUGAAUUCAUCUCCGGGGGUAGAGCACUGUUUCGGCAAGGGGGUCAUCCCGACUUACCAACCCGAUGCAAACUGCGAAUACCGGAGAAUGUUAUCACGGGAGACACACGGCGGGUGCUAACGUCCGUCGUGAAGAGGGAAACAACCCAGACCGCCAGCUAAGGUCCCAAAGUCAUGGUUAAGUGGGAAACGAUGUGGGAAGGCCCAGACAGCCAGGAUGUUGGCUUAGAAGCAGCCAUCAUUUAAAGAAAGCGUAAUAGCUCACUGGUCGAGUCGGCCUGCGCGGAAGAUGUAACGGGGCUAAACCAUGCACCGAAGCUGCGGCAGCGACGCUUAUGCGUUGUUGGGUAGGGGAGCGUUCUGUAAGCCUGUGAAGGUGUGCUGUGAGGCAUGCUGGAGGUAUCAGAAGUGCGAAUGCUGACAUAAGUAACGAUAAAGCGGGUGAAAAGCCCGCUCGCCGGAAGACCAAGGGUUCCUGUCCAACGUUAAUCGGGGCAGGGUGAGUCGACCCCUAAGGCGAGGCCGAAAGGCGUAGUCGAUGGGAAACAGGUUAAUAUUCCUGUACUUGGUGUUACUGCGAAGGGGGGACGGAGAAGGCUAUGUUGGCCGGGCGACGGUUGUCCCGGUUUAAGCGUGUAGGCUGGUUUUCCAGGCAAAUCCGGAAAAUCAAGGCUGAGGCGUGAUGACGAGGCACUACGGUGCUGAAGCAACAAAUGCCCUGCUUCCAGGAAAAGCCUCUAAGCAUCAGGUAACAUCAAAUCGUACCCCAAACCGACACAGGUGGUCAGGUAGAGAAUACCAAGGCGCUUGAGAGAACUCGGGUGAAGGAACUAGGCAAAAUGGUGCCGUAACUUCGGGAGAAGGCACGCUGAUAUGUAGGUGAAGUCCCUCGCGGAUGGAGCUGAAAUCAGUCGAAGAUACCAGCUGGCUGCAACUGUUUAUUAAAAACACAGCACUGUGCAAACACGAAAGUGGACGUAUACGGUGUGACGCCUGCCCGGUGCCGGAAGGUUAAUUGAUGGGGUCAGCGCAAGCGAAGCUCUUGAUCGAAGCCCCGGUAAACGGCGGCCGUAACUAUAACGGUCCUAAGGUAGCGAAAUUCCUUGUCGGGUAAGUUCCGACCUGCACGAAUGGCGUAAUGAUGGCCAGGCUGUCUCCACCCGAGACUCAGUGAAAUUGAACUCGCUGUGAAGAUGCAGUGUACCCGCGGCAAGACGGAAAGACCCCGUGAACCUUUACUAUAGCUUGACACUGAACAUUGAGCCUUGAUGUGUAGGAUAGGUGGGAGGCUUUGAAGUGUGGACGCCAGUCUGCAUGGAGCCGACCUUGAAAUACCACCCUUUAAUGUUUGAUGUUCUAACGUUGACCCGUAAUCCGGGUUGCGGACAGUGUCUGGUGGGUAGUUUGACUGGGGCGGUCUCCUCCUAAAGAGUAACGGAGGAGCACGAAGGUUGGCUAAUCCUGGUCGGACAUCAGGAGGUUAGUGCAAUGGCAUAAGCCAGCUUGACUGCGAGCGUGACGGCGCGAGCAGGUGCGAAAGCAGGUCAUAGUGAUCCGGUGGUUCUGAAUGGAAGGGCCAUCGCUCAACGGAUAAAAGGUACUCCGGGGAUAACAGGCUGAUACCGCCCAAGAGUUCAUAUCGACGGCGGUGUUUGGCACCUCGAUGUCGGCUCAUCACAUCCUGGGGCUGAAGUAGGUCCCAAGGGUAUGGCUGUUCGCCAUUUAAAGUGGUACGCGAGCUGGGUUUAGAACGUCGUGAGACAGUUCGGUCCCUAUCUGCCGUGGGCGCUGGAGAACUGAGGGGGGCUGCUCCUAGUACGAGAGGACCGGAGUGGACGCAUCACUGGUGUUCGGGUUGUCAUGCCAAUGGCACUGCCCGGUAGCUAAAUGCGGAAGAGAUAAGUGCUGAAAGCAUCUAAGCACGAAACUUGCCCCGAGAUGAGUUCU
RNAcentral lists this ribosomal RNA (2773 nucleotides) under Escherichia coli. RNAcentral's name for it is "bacterial LSU rRNA". It matches the Rfam family "Bacterial large subunit ribosomal RNA". The record is from RNAcentral. Lineage: Bacteria; Pseudomonadati; Pseudomonadota; Gammaproteobacteria; Enterobacterales; Enterobacteriaceae.